UCUCAUCUUCAUCUUCAACCCCAAUUUUCAAUUUUUGUUCUUCCACCUCCGUUUUUGUUCAACCUCAUCAUUCUAAGCUUCGUCGGAGGGCUCUCCUGGGCCACCGACAAUGAUGCGCUGUUGAGGGCCUUUUCUCCGUUGAUCAUCAACGAUUGCGAGACCGGGAGGUCCAGGGGCUUCAGCUUCAGCUUCGGCUUCGUCACCUUCAGCAACGAGAAGGCCAUGAGGGACGCGAUCGAAGGCAUGAACGACUAGAACUUCGACGACUGUAACAUCACCGUCAACGAGGCCCAGUCUUGUGGAAGCGGCAGUGGUAGUAACAGAGGUUACAGCCACGGAGAAAAUUCAUGCAUUGUUGUCUCUCAUCUGGAGUUGUUGUUCAGUUUAAUCCCUGCAGGAGCUUGUAUCCAAGUGUGUGAGGCUGGCUCACUUGUUUCAUGUUUGAUGUAGUAACAUUAGUCAUUUUGAUUUGGCUGUAAGAUUUAGCUAUAAGGAAUUGCUUUUUGCGUUUUGAAAUCAAACCAAUUCCUCAUUUGAAACAAUAAGUUUCUAGAAUCUGUUAUACACAUGAACUUAUUUGAUGACUGCAAAGACCUAUAUUAAUUUCUUGGAUGAUCAAAUUGGCUAUUUUUGGUAUGAAAUGCUUGCUAAAUAUGCAUCUCUAACCCCGAGUGUAGCACCAUGCGCUGUGACUUAACCCACAAAGCUUACUAUUGAAUGAAAAACAAGAUAUCCUCUUUUUAUUUUCCUCUAUUGAUCUACUAUAUGGAGUUUCUUUGCUUUUUCUGCCCUGUUGAAUUAUGAAUAUGGAUUUCUUAGUUCAAUUUAGAAAAUCUAUGUUAUUCUCUUAUUGGUUCAGCAUAUAUCUAUUGAAAUUUUGACGCGGGGAGUGAAUGGUUUCAUAUUAUCCCUGUAGUUUGUAGUGAAAUGACAUACUAUUCAAAUUCUGUAUACUAUUUCACCUUAUCAGUUAUGUGCC
This is a long non-coding RNA of Prunus dulcis (almond), 979 nucleotides long. RefSeq lists it as uncharacterized. The transcript has 3 exons. The record is from RefSeq and is a predicted model, not a curated record. Lineage: Eukaryota; Viridiplantae; Streptophyta; Magnoliopsida; Rosales; Rosaceae.